Small nucleolar RNA from Trichoplusia ni (cabbage looper), 74 nucleotides. RefSeq annotates it as small nucleolar RNA SNORD34. The record is from RefSeq and is a predicted model, not a curated record. The transcript has a single exon. NCBI's taxonomy places the organism in Eukaryota, Metazoa, Arthropoda, Insecta, Lepidoptera, Noctuidae.
UUUCGCUUAUGAUUAUUUACUCUUUUACCUACAUUAUUUGAUGUCUGUGAUAGAAACUAUAUUAUGAAGCUCAA